Molecule: ribosomal RNA, 497 nt
Filed under: uncultured bacterium
Lineage: Bacteria
Description: bacterial SSU rRNA
Rfam family: Bacterial small subunit ribosomal RNA
Source: RNAcentral
CCUGGCUCAGAUUGAACGCUGGCGGCAUGCUUACACAUGCAAGUCGAACGGCAGCACGGGCUUCGGCCUGGUGGCGAGUGGCGAACGGGUGAGUAAUGCAUCGGAACGUGCCCAUGUUGUGGGGGAUAACUACGCGAAAGCGUGGCUAAUACCGCAUACGCCCUGAGGGGGAAAGCGGGGGAUUCUUCGGAACCUCGCGCAAUUGGAGCGGCCGAUGUCAGAUUAGCUUGUUGGUGAGGUAAAGGCUCACCAAGGCGACGAUCUGUAGCGGGUCUGAGAGGAUGAUCCGCCACACUGGGACUGAGACACGGCCCCAGACUCCUACGGGAGGCAGCAGUGGGGAAUUUUGGACAAUGGGGGCAACCCUGAUCCAGCCAUGCCGCGUGAGUGAAGAAGGCCUUCGGGUUGUAAAGCUCUUUCAGCCGGGAAGAAAACGCACGCUCUAACAUAGCGUGUGGAUGACGGUACCGGACCAAGAAGCACCGGCUAACUACGUG